Molecule: ribosomal RNA, 466 nt
Filed under: uncultured bacterium
Lineage: Bacteria
Description: bacterial SSU rRNA
Rfam family: Bacterial small subunit ribosomal RNA
Source: RNAcentral
UUCGCAAUGCCCGAAAGGGUGACUAUGCGACGCCGCGUGCGCGAUGAAGGUCUUCGGAUUGUAAAGCCCUGUCUCCUGGGAAGAAUGGCGGGAGGUGAAUAGCCAUCUCGUCUGACGCUACCAGGGAAGGAAGCACCGGCUAAAUACGUGCCAGCAGCCGCGGUAAUACGUAUGGUGCGAACGUUGUUCGGAAUCACUGGGCAUAAAGAGCACGUAGGCGGUUGAGCAAGUCCAUUGUGAAAUCCCCCGGCUUAACCGGGGAACUGCUGUGGAUACUACUUGACUUGAGUGCGGGAGGGGAGAGUGGAAUUCCAGGUGGAGCGGUGAAAUGCGUAGAUAUCAGAAGGAACGCCGGCGGCGAAAGCGGCUCUCUGGCCCAUAACUGACGCUGAGUGUGCGAAAGCUAGGGGAGCAAACGGGAUUAGAUACCCCGGUAGUCCUAGCCCUAAACGAUGGGCACUAAGUA